UGGCUUAUUCUUGUUAACAAAUUGACUCUGGCUGGGACUUAGAAUAUUAAAGGACCUUCUUUCUUGAUGUCUUUGGGCGACGGGACAUCUUUCACUAUCAUUGGGGAGUUGUAUUCAAUCCUGGCCUGUCCGAGGCUUACCUUAUCCAUUACAACUGUAGUUACCGAGUGAGAUGGACUUUGAUGUACACUAAUGAAGUCUUACUCCUUCUCUAGGUGAUGGAUCAUCUUUUACCAAGAUAGGACAGAUUAUAUUCAUUAUAUCUUUUCAAUUGUACAACAUUUCUGUAUAAUAAUGAUACUGAGAUAUUUAGCUGUUGUUUAAUUAGUAAUUACUGUGUGGUGUGUAAA
Molecule: long non-coding RNA, 350 nt
Filed under: Amphimedon queenslandica
Lineage: Eukaryota; Metazoa; Porifera; Demospongiae; Haplosclerida; Niphatidae
Description: uncharacterized LOC109588700
Source: RNAcentral